RNAcentral lists this ribosomal RNA (330 nucleotides) under uncultured bacterium. RNAcentral's name for it is "bacterial SSU rRNA". It matches the Rfam family "Bacterial small subunit ribosomal RNA", at positions 568 to 898 of the family's 1533-position model. The record is from RNAcentral.
UGUGUAGGCGGUUCUUUAAGUUUGGUGUGAAAUCUCCCGGCUCAACUGGGAGGGAGCGCCGAAUACUGAGGGACUAGAGUACGGGAGAGGAAAGUGGAAUUCCUGGUGUAGCGGUGAAAUGCGUAGAUAUCAGGAGGAACACCGGUGGUGUAGACGGCUUUCUGGACCGUAACUGACGCUGAGACACGAAAGCGUGGGUAGCAAACAGGAUUAGAUACCCUGGUAGUCCACGCCCUAAACGAUGCAUAUUUGGUGUGGGCAGUUCAUUCUGUCCGCGCCGGAGCUAACGCGUUAAAUAUGCCGCCUGGGGAGUACAGUCGCAAGGCUGAA